UGAAGGCUAAAAUAAUUCUAAGUGUAAACACUUAAGUUGAAAUUUCUAAGUCUGGGGCCUCUCUUUAUGCUCUAAAGGAUUGAGUUAAGCUUAGGAUUUUGCAGGGUCUUACAAUAUCUAUCCCUUGGGAAUAUUCAUCCUUGAAUGAGACUGUCUAAGCUGAGGAUACUGAUAGACUAUGUUUACAUACUGUACAUGCACAACUGAAGCAUGAAUUCAUGACUGAAACUAUUGAUAU
This 238-nucleotide long non-coding RNA is filed under the name Capsicum annuum. Its description in RNAcentral is "long non-coding RNA (CANN_LNC001223)". Lineage: Eukaryota; Viridiplantae; Streptophyta; Magnoliopsida; Solanales; Solanaceae. The record is from RNAcentral.